Kogia breviceps (pygmy sperm whale) is the source of this 1508-nucleotide non-coding RNA. Lineage: Eukaryota; Metazoa; Chordata; Mammalia; Artiodactyla; Physeteridae. The record is from RefSeq and is a predicted model, not a curated record.
UGGGCAGCUGCCCCCGGUGAGCCUGGGAGAGCCGUGGGCGCUGAGGCGAAGUGAAUCCAUGGCUUUCAUCGGAUUCUCAAAACCACCAAAAAGAUGACAAUCUGCUGCUUUGGGGCUUUCGAGAAAAGUAAGCAAGUUAAGGGAGCAUGCUUAGUGCUGUGGGUGCCGCCUCUCUCCCUGCUCUUCUCCUUCCCACUGGCUUUCGCAGCUCCCGAGAGACGCUUUGUAGGGUUUUGGACCUGUCGGCCCCACUCCUGCCCCGUUACCUCACUCCUCCACCCAAGCCCCUGGCCUGCCCAGAUGCGCCUGACUCCACCCUUGGGGGCCCCGUGGCUCCCACCGUAUUGCACGUGGACCACCAGGCUCUCCCAGGAGCUCCUCCCCAGGUACACACACCUGUAUAACUGUACGUGGUAACGCUGGAGAGAAAAGGCAAGGUGUUGAGAGACUUGGAAAGGAAGGGGAGAAUACGAGGACAGGAAACAGGAACAGAGAUUCAGGACACGGUGGGAAUCCUGGGGCAGAAUGACACUUGGCCCCAUAUCCUGCCUGGAACUCUGGGAUGGAGACAUCCACACAGUGCCUCCCACCAACAAGAUGAGGCAACAAGAGGUCAGAAAUGACAGCCUGACGUUUAGAAGAGAUCCUGAGAUGGUGCCCUUGGGUUCACCGUGGCUUAUUUGUAGCAUGAAUGAGUUCCAGCUACAGGCUUCAGAAAGAGACUCCAUAGAAAUGCGGAGAAGAGUCUUGGUUCACAAGUAGAAGGCUGGGAGAGGCAAGAGGAUGGCCCAAGCGUGCAUCCCUCCUUAUUGGAAGCCACAACAGCAACCAGGCACCAGCAUCGCCGGUGUGGGCCUAUUGCCAGCCAGAGUCACUUGUACCAUGGCCCGCAUCCAAAGACCAAGGACAAUGAGCGAGCAGAGGGGACAGAUCCAUCCUUUUUCUGCAAUUAUAUAAGCUCCCUCUGUAUCCAGAUACCUUCUUGGGAAGGAAGAGGAAUGUGAAGAGGAAGGAGAGGAGGGGAAGCAGGAAAAAGAGAGGAAGAGAAAGGGGAAGGUGAAGAGUGAGAGGAGAGGUACAGUACAAGAAGGCUUCUUGGAGUCUUCAAUGCUUGUGGACAUUGUCUAUCACCCAAAGAAGGAUAUAGCGCAAUAUAAAGAGCUCUCCAAACACACUGCUCAAGGGAGUACUUUCUUUACAGAACGGUGAUUAAUAGCUCAUAAGUCUAGUAUUCCCUGAAAGAAUUUGGGAGCUGCGGUUCUAUCAUUUAAAGUGAUGAGCCAUGUAUCUGAGCCUAGGGCACAGAUGGGAAGUGAUGGGGAUCCCUACAGGAUAGGCCGGGAGACUCUAAAGGUCUGCUCCCUUCUUCUCAAAAUUGCUGUGACUGCCCUUGGGCUGGAUUCAUGUCCUGAAUCCCUUUCUUGGUUUUUCUCUCUGAGGGUAGUGCCCCCACUUAAACAGAGCUCUUUCCAAGCUCUCCUGUCUUGUCGUAAACAGGAAUUAUGCUG